Dalotia coriaria is the source of this 404-nucleotide long non-coding RNA. RefSeq lists it as uncharacterized. Lineage: Eukaryota; Metazoa; Arthropoda; Insecta; Coleoptera; Staphylinidae. The transcript has 2 exons. The record is from RefSeq and is a predicted model, not a curated record.
AAUUAUUUGAUGAAUUUUAUAAUAGAUAAUGAAAGGAACAGUUAUUUUUAUUCUGUGUUUGAUGUGUGUUACUUCUGGGGUGAUUGCUGGAUUUAUUUCUUUUGGGGCUAAUGAAUAUACUGGGAAUAUAUUACCAGGAUGUAUGGAUCAAAGAAAAAGGCGUGUGGACAGAAUUCAGCUUAGUCCUCCUCGCAAAUUAGAAAUCAUACCAAUGAGGAAAUCUAUUACUAUGCUUCAACCGGUAUUUAACCGGAGGAUAUGUUAAUGAAGAAUUUUUGAAUAUGAAGUGAUUUGGUGUUUUAGAUUAUGUUAAUUGAUAUAAAAAAAUUAUUUUGAUGUAUUUGAUUUUAAAACUGCAGAAUUUGAUUUUUCUUUUUAAUAAAAUUAAAGUAAAAUGUUUAAAA